Molecule: transfer RNA, 74 nt
Filed under: Solilutibacter pythonis
Lineage: Bacteria; Pseudomonadati; Pseudomonadota; Gammaproteobacteria; Lysobacterales; Lysobacteraceae
Description: Lysobacter pythonis tRNA
Rfam family: tRNA
About the family: Transfer RNA (tRNA) molecules are approximately 80 nucleotides in length.
Source: Rfam by way of RNAcentral
CACUGGAUAGCUCAGUCGGGUAGAGCAGUGGACUGUUAAUCCACCUGUCGCGGGUUCGAGUCCCGCUCCAACGA